UGCGGCUGGAUCACCUCCUUUCAAGGAUGUUUCCUGACACGUUGGGAAACGCCGAUAAAAAGACCUGCAUUGGAUCAGUGCAGGCAACUGAUGGCCUCAGGGCGCCGUCAACAUAUCCCUUCCUGUAAUGUUUUGGGCUAGUAGCUCAGUUGGUUAGAGCACACGCUUGAUAAGCGUGGGGUCGGAGGUUCAAGUCCUCCCUGGCCCACCACGACUGUGGUGGUUUCGAGCCUUGAGAGAGUGAAGUUCAUUGAUGACUAUCGAUGAUGCUUUGCUGAUCUUGACUGGGGGCGUAGCUCAGCUGGGAGAGCACCUGCUUUGCAAGCAGGGGGUCGUCGGUUCGAUCCCGUCCGCCUCCACCAGAAACCACACCGGUACACGCUGCUUGGCGAAAGCUUUGAGCGGCAUGAUGGUGCGAUAACAUUACAGGUUAAGGGAAAAAUGUUUCCUCCCUGCCGCACUUUGGUGCGGGAGCGAUGAAAAAGUCUGUUCUUUGUCAGUGUGAAUAGGUUGGUGCACUUUCUGGGUGCUGCCACGAUCCGGGUUGGUCUGACCCAUGUGGAUCGGUUCUUGGGUUCCUGGACUUUGGUCCGGGAGGCUCUGAUCCGGUCUCGUGUUAAGGAUUGUGGCGUAUAGCGGUCAGAGAGUGUUUUAUAAGUAUGAUGAACUUUGCGUGCGAUGCAUUGCAUUUUCUCUGCGCAGAAAACUCUGAAGCGCGCGAGCGUGGAUGGUUGCUGUGCAUGUGUAGUGUGUGAGCAUGAGAAGGGCAUUCGGUGGAUGCCUUGGCAUC
RNAcentral lists this transfer RNA (790 nucleotides) under Asaia bogorensis. RNAcentral's name for it is "partial miscellaneous RNA". The stretch from base 135 to 208 matches the Rfam family "tRNA". Lineage: Bacteria; Pseudomonadati; Pseudomonadota; Alphaproteobacteria; Acetobacterales; Acetobacteraceae. The record is from RNAcentral.